CACGGCCACGGCCACUGGGCGCAUCUCCACCACGGAGGUGAGCUGGGACCGGCUCCGGGAAGGCUGGGACGGCCCGGUGGUGAGGGCGGAUCGGACCUGCAUCCUUACACUAGCAAUGAGUAGGCAAACGAGAGACUGAGAGAUCAGAAGCCAAUGCAAGGUGGAGAGAGCAGCCUACUGAAGGACAGUCACACCCAGGGUCACUCUCUGGUAAAAGUGAGGGUCCAGCUACAAGGCAAAGAUGCAUGGUGACAGUCCCAACAGCCAUCACUGCUAAGCAGAAAGCGCUGUGUUCAGAUGGACAAUGAGGCAUUAUGCAUCUGAGAACUCUGGAGAUGAAAAUGAAAUAAAAUAACAUUACCCCCAAGAUGUACUUUCUUCUGGGGUUGACAGAAGCAGAAGGCUGAGAAUGUAUUCUCUACAGCUAGAAGUCUGCCUUGUGAAAAGGAAAAGCUCUAUUAUUGCUGUGUAACUGGGAAGCAGAGGACACGUGUGUCUGUGGUGGAAUCUUCUAGCACCACAGUUGAACAGAAAGAACCACUGCCCGUACCUGCUACCGAGUCCUCACCUGGUCAGGCCCACACACUCCCCAUCAGGGUCUUUCCUGCUGGCAUCUUGCUUCCUAGACCCUGGGUGUUUGCCUUGCUGAGGGCAGGAGAGUUGUGGCUCUGUCUACCCUCAGGAAACCAAAGGAAAACCAGAAGUAAAUGUAUAUCAUAUUUACCAAA
Long non-coding RNA from Suricata suricatta (meerkat), 728 nucleotides. RefSeq lists it as uncharacterized. NCBI's taxonomy places the organism in Eukaryota, Metazoa, Chordata, Mammalia, Carnivora, Herpestidae. The record is from RefSeq and is a predicted model, not a curated record. The transcript is spliced from 3 exons.